This 255-nucleotide ribosomal RNA is filed under the name uncultured bacterium. Its description in RNAcentral is "partial 16S ribosomal RNA". It matches the Rfam family "Bacterial small subunit ribosomal RNA", at positions 524 to 776 of the family's 1533-position model. The record is from RNAcentral.
UACGUAGGGCGCAAGCGUUAUCCGGAAUUAUUGGGCGUAAAGAGCUCGUAGGCGGUUUGUCGCGUCUGCCGUGAAAGUCCGGGGCUCAACUCCGGAUCUGCGGUGGGUACGGGCAGACUAGAGUGAUGUAGGGGAGACUGGAAUUCCUGGUGUAGCGGUGAAAUGCGCAGAUAUCAGGAGGAACACCGAUGGGCGAAGGCAGGUCUCUGGGCAUUAACUGACGCUGAGGAGCGAAAGCAUGGGGGAGCGAACAGG